Molecule: ribosomal RNA, 426 nt
Filed under: uncultured Enterobacteriaceae bacterium
Lineage: Bacteria; Pseudomonadati; Pseudomonadota; Gammaproteobacteria; Enterobacterales; Enterobacteriaceae
Description: bacterial SSU rRNA
Rfam family: Bacterial small subunit ribosomal RNA
Source: RNAcentral
UGGGGAAUAUUGCACAAUGGGCGCAAGCCUGAUGCAGCCAUGCCGCGUGUAUGAAGAAGGCCUUCGGGUUGUAAAGUACUUUCAGCGAGAGGAAGGCGUUGUGGUUAAUAACCACAGCGACUGACGUUACCCGCAGAAGAAGCACCGGCUAACUCCGUGCCAGCAGCCGCGGUAAUACAGGGGGUGCAAGCGUUAAUCGGAAUUACUGGGCGUAAAGCGCACGCAGGCGGUCUGUCAAGUCGGAUGUGAAAUCCCCGGGCUCAACCUGGGAACUGGCAUUCGAAACUGGCAGGCUAGAGUCUUGUAGAGGGGGUAGAAUUCCAGGUGUAGCGGUGAAAUUGCGUAGAGAUCUGGAGGAAUACCGGUGGCGAAGGCGGCCCCCUGGACAAAGACUGACGCUCAGGUGCGAAAGCGUGGGAGCAAACA